CAGAAGGGGCUGGGCCUGGGUGCUAAUUGAAAUCCAGGAAUCUAACCCAGGUUUUCUGGCUCUGUCUUCUUCCCCACCUUUCAGAAACUGGUCCCAGCGUCAGAUCUGCGAUGCUGCCCAGGCAUGGUGGUGACCCUCUCUAAACAAGCACACUCAGAAUUUCCCUGGCUCGGCUGGGCGACUCAGAAGAAAACUGGCCAUCAGCUUCUGCCUCAAGCGGUGAAAAGAAAUUGCUGGACAUUGCAGAAAAAUCAGAAAAUGUCAGUAAGUUAAAAGAAAUCAGGCCAGGCACAGUGGCUCAAGCCUGUAAUCCCAGCACUCCGGGAAGCCGAGAUCACCUGAGGGCAGAUCACCUGAGGUCAGGAAUUUGAGACCAGCCUGGCCAACAUGGUGAAACCCUGCCUUCACUAAAAAUACAAAAAUUAGCCAGGCUUCGUGGCGGGCACCUGUAAUACCAGCUACUUGGGAGGCUGAGGCAGGAGAAUUCCCUGAACCUGGGAGGCAGAGGUUGCAGUGAGCCGAGAUCACACCACUGCACUCCAGCCUGAGUGACAAAGACCCCAUCUCAAACAGCUUCUAGUAGCAACCUACAAUGCACAGGACAGGACAGCACCCCCAACAAAGAAUUAUCCAGUCCCAGAUGUCAAGCACCGGGUUGAGAAUCCCUGGUUUAGACUGCCUUAGUUAGGUUUUAGAGACUGGCUGGUUCAAAGGUUUGCACACUGUGUUCUACAGAGACUCUGGAGCUCCUGGGAGUGGAACGAGAGGAAGUGGACAGGGACCCCAACCACAUUCCCCGGCCAGUCAGAGCAGGUGCCCUUUAGGUCAGCUUUUGAAGCUAGAGUUCUGUAUUAGCUUUGCUUUGGAAAAGUCCCUGGGGGUAGGGGGGUGCGUAGGGAAAAGAUUUGAAUGCCAUUACCCUGCUUUGAUUUAUAGGCCCAGAAAAGGAAAGUGAGUUGCCUGAAGUCACGUAGCAAAUCUGAAGUACAACAGGGACCUAGACACAGAGCCUUGGUGUCCAGCACGCUUUGUACCACCCCUUAGCCCUAUUGAUAAUCACUGACACCCUGGGCUAGGAGUCGGGCACCUGGGGAGUGCUGGCAAACUGUGGCUCAUAGACCAGACCUGGCUCACUGCCCGUUUUUAUACAGCCUGCCAACUAAGAAUAAUAGUUUCCACAUCUUUUUAAUGGUUGAAGAAAAUAAAGAGUAUU
This 1213-nucleotide long non-coding RNA is filed under the name Homo sapiens (human). RNAcentral's name for it is "HSALNT0007106". The record is from RNAcentral. Lineage: Eukaryota; Metazoa; Chordata; Mammalia; Primates; Hominidae.